UACGUAGGGUGCAAGCGUUAAUCGGAAUUACUGGGCGUAAAGCGUGCGCAGGCGGUUAUGUAAGACAGGUGUGAAAUCCCCGGGCUUAACCUGGGAACUGCAUUUGUGACUGCAUAGCUAGAGUACGGUAGAGGGGGAUGGAAUUCCGCGUGUAGCAGUGAAAUGCGUAGAUAUGCGGAGGAACACCGAUGGCGAAGGCAAUCCCCUGGACCUGUACUGACGCUCAUGCACGAAAGCUAGGGGAGCGAAAGGG
RNAcentral lists this ribosomal RNA (253 nucleotides) under uncultured bacterium. RNAcentral's name for it is "partial 16S ribosomal RNA". It matches the Rfam family "Bacterial small subunit ribosomal RNA", at positions 524 to 776 of the family's 1533-position model. The record is from RNAcentral.